RNAcentral lists this ribosomal RNA (253 nucleotides) under uncultured bacterium. Its description in RNAcentral is "partial 16S ribosomal RNA". It matches the Rfam family "Bacterial small subunit ribosomal RNA", at positions 524 to 776 of the family's 1533-position model. The record is from RNAcentral.
UACAGAGGUCUCGAGCGUUGUUCGGAUUCAUUGGGCGUAAAGGGCGCGUAGGCUGCGGGGCAAGUCGGGUGUGAAAUCCCAGAGCUCAACUCUGAAACUGCACUCGAUACUGCUUUGCUUGAGGACUGGAGAGGAGAUUGGAAUUCACGGUGUAGCAGUGAAAUGCGUAGAUAUCGUGAGGAAGACCAGUGGCGAAGGCGGAUCUCUGGACAGUUCCUGACGCUGAGGCGCGAAGGCCAGGGGAGCAAACAGG